GCAGUGGUGAUUCAGUGGUGGAAUUCUCACCCUCCAUGUUGGAAACCCAGGUUCGAUUCCUGGCCAAUGCA
This 71-nucleotide transfer RNA is filed under the name Loxodonta africana (African savanna elephant). It matches the Rfam family "tRNA". Rfam says of the family: Transfer RNA (tRNA) molecules are approximately 80 nucleotides in length. The record is from Rfam by way of RNAcentral. Lineage: Eukaryota; Metazoa; Chordata; Mammalia; Proboscidea; Elephantidae.